GAUAACACAAUGAUGAAGACAAGUAAUGAUUGAUGUGGUUUAGAGAACAUGCGGUUGGUGAAAGCAUGGACACAUUGAUGAUGAAAUCCACUUCUAAGUGACACUAAUCAUGUCCGUAGGUCUGCGUUAAAGAUAUUGAGGGCUAGACAUUGUUCUAGAACUAAGGUGGCACCGCGUAUAUACGUCCUUAGA
RNAcentral lists this non-coding RNA (192 nucleotides) under Mycoplasmatota bacterium. Its description in RNAcentral is "Tenericutes bacterium T-box sequence". It matches the Rfam family "T-box leader". From Rfam's summary of the family: Uncharged tRNA acts as the effector for transcription antitermination of genes in the T-box leader family. The record is from RNAcentral. Lineage: Bacteria; Bacillati; Mycoplasmatota.